UUUGAACAGAAAAGGAAAGAGAGGGAAGUACAUUUACUCUUUGCCAUUCAGAUGGCACAAGGUGGACAAAGGAGCAGUUUUGCCAAGAAUAUGGAUCUGUCUCUGAGAUUCCAACUCCCUGGAAGAGAACAUUUUAUAUUGGACGUAGAGAAAUGGAUAUUAUCUGCCUCGGUGAAAGCAGUUCAGCAUUAGGAAAUGAUGAAAUGGAAGACUCAGACAUGAUCAGGGUGCAAGGGAGACCUCAGUUCCAGAGAUCCAAAUUGCAACUCCUAAUCCAGAGAGGCCCAUGGAAGAAGGUGUUUGCCCACAAAAUGAGUGUAUUCUCAACGCCUGCCAUUAGUGGACGAAUCACUAAUCAAUUACAGUGAACAGAACAUGUUGGGUGAAGGAACAUUUGGGAAAGUAUAUCGAGGUUCUUUUCAGGGAACCCCCGCUGCCAUAAACAGGAUUCCAUAUGGCAUAGCAGGACUUCAAGAUCAGGACAUACAGCAUGAGAUUCUCGUCGCAAUGCGAUUGAGCCAUCCCAAUAUUGUACGACUUAUGGCAGCAGCCCACACUGAAAACACGUUCUUGCUGGCCAAUGAAUACAUUCACGGUACAACCCUGGAUAAUGUGCUACACAGUGACAAUGCUUGUGUUAAGCUUGAAGGAAACGAUAGUCAUUUUGUUGCCCUGGACAUUUCAAUGGCUGUUGAAUUCAUUCAUUCAAAAAAUGUCAUCCAUCAGGAUCUGAAGCCUGACAAUAUCCUGAUUGACCAGUUCUUCAAAAAGGCUGUGCUUACUGACUGGGGACUUGCCAACAUAAGGGGCACAGUUUUAUUGCGGCAAGGAAGCAGAUUCACUGGAGGGAAAAUAGGACCAAUGGGUGGUACUUUUCUUUACAUGGCUCCAGAAUGUCUAAUUGAAUUCGAAGAGGCUUCCAGAAGCUCAGACAUAUGUAACUUUGUCUUUGGGAGUAACAUACCUUGAACUUUUUACUAAGUUGAAGCCCUGGACAGUAAAAAACCAGAAGCAGUUGUGCAGCCUGUUGACCAAAAAAUGCACAACCACACGCUCUGGAACAUCUGUGUGAAAGAUACAGUUUCAUAUCUAUGAUGGUACACUAUGACCCAGCAUCAAGACCUGAAGCUUCAUCUGUUGUUCUCUCCUUAAAAACUGUUGAGGGGCUAGAUCUCCAGAGCCGUUAUGGUUACAAAUGGUAAAGAAAAAUCGUGUCAAAAGUUUACAUAUAACCUGCAGAAAAUGGAAAACGUUGCAGAUAUUUACUUGUAGUCAACAACACCAAAAAAAAACAAUUAUUAUUUACAUUUAAUAACUUAACUUACAAAAAUAAGCCAGUUCAAAAUUUUCCACACACCUCAUUUUUUCUACUGUAAAAUGUUAACUGAACAGUUAAUGUCAGUUAUUUGUCAUAGCUGUUGAAGAGUUUCUUGUUCGGUCAGAGCUUACAAAACAUAAGAACUGUUCAGUUAACAUUGUACAGUAGUUAGAAUUAGGUGUGUGGAAACUUUUAAUCUGGCAUAUUUUUGUUGAUUACUAAAUGUAAACAUCUGUUGUGUGAACUAGCUUGUUCAGUGCAGUUUCCAAUUAAAACAAAUUAUUGUUCAAAUAAAUUCUUAAUUUUCAAAAUCCUUCUUGUUUUUCUGAAAUGUGCAAAAUUUUUCACAUUCUGCAGGUUGUAUGUAAACUUUUGCUCGUUAGCCAAUGUUCUUUAUCUGUCAGGGUGUUCCUUAUUCCUGAUGUUAAAAGUUUAAAUAUUUUCUGUGGUUUGGAUGAGAAAUUAC
This is a long non-coding RNA of Triplophysa dalaica, 1784 nucleotides long. RefSeq lists it as uncharacterized. Lineage: Eukaryota; Metazoa; Chordata; Actinopteri; Cypriniformes; Nemacheilidae. The transcript is spliced from 8 exons. The record is from RefSeq and is a predicted model, not a curated record.